UUGUAGCCGAUCCAUCAUCCAAGAUGGCCGCCAGCGGGGGACUUAGUUUAACAUAGGACCCUAUGGGAAAUGCAUACAAAUGACUUCUUCUAGAGAACCACUAAAUGGAAUGAAACCAAACAUAGCAUGAAUGUUCCUUAUGGAGUGCUGACCAAGUGUUGUUACUUUGUAGCCGAUCCAUCAUCCAAGAUGGCCGCCAGCGGGGGACUUAGUUUAACAUAGGACCCUAUGGGAAAUGCAUACAAAUGACUUAUUUUAGAGAACCACUGAAUGGAAUGAAACCAAACAUGGCAUGAAUGUUCCUUAUGAGGUGCUGACCAAGUGUUGUUACUUUGUUGCUGAUCCAUCAUCCAAGAUGGCUGCCAGCCGGGGACUUAGUUUAACAUAGGACCCUAUGGGAAAUGCAUACAAAUGACUUCUUUUAGAGAACCACUGAAUGGAAUAAAACCAAACAUAGC
Molecule: long non-coding RNA, 458 nt
Filed under: Mytilus galloprovincialis (Mediterranean mussel)
Lineage: Eukaryota; Metazoa; Mollusca; Bivalvia; Mytilida; Mytilidae
Source: RNAcentral